Molecule: ribosomal RNA, 280 nt
Filed under: uncultured bacterium
Lineage: Bacteria
Description: partial 16S ribosomal RNA
Rfam family: Archaeal small subunit ribosomal RNA
Source: RNAcentral
UGCCAGCCGCCGCGGUAAAACCAGCACCUCAAGUGGUCAGGAUGAUUAUUGGGCCUAAAGCAUCCGUAGCCGGCGCUAUAAGUUUUCGGUUAAAUCUGUACGCUCAACGUACAGGCUGCCGGGAAUACUGUAGCGCUAGGGAGUGGGAGAGGUAGACGGUACUCGGUAGGAAGGGGUAAAAUCCUUUGAUCUAUUGAUGACCACCUGUGGCGAAGGCGGUCUACCAGAACACGUCCGACGGGUGAGGGAUGAAAGCGGGGGGAGAAACCCGGAUUAGAUC